This is a long non-coding RNA of Neopsephotus bourkii (Bourke's parrot), 1053 nucleotides long. RefSeq lists it as uncharacterized. The record is from RefSeq and is a predicted model, not a curated record. Lineage: Eukaryota; Metazoa; Chordata; Aves; Psittaciformes; Psittacidae. The transcript is spliced from 3 exons.
CAUUCCUAUUGACACUGGAAACCAUACCUCCUCCUUUGUACUGCUCCAAAUUAAGAUGAAAGAUUGCAGCUUGGAACAGGAACCCUGGGAGUAGUUCGCUUCUUUAUUUGCGGUCAUAACCUACUAACGUUACAAGUGAUGUAAAAGUUACAGUCAUGAGCAAUCCAUUGCAACUCUACUGCCAGCUUCUUUCAGGAAGGAUAUGUCUGUGGUGCCCAGCAAUACAAAUGGAAAACAAAAUAAAUGUGGAUACUCACGUUUAUGGUGUUUCUAAUGCAUUUCAUCUACCUUCCUGCUAGACACUGGUGUCAGCACUUUGUGAAGAUGAGUUUGAUCAAACAAGUGACGGGUUUGUACCCUUUAGAACCUUUUCCCCCGUUCUAAAAUCAAGGACCAAGGGCCAAAGCUCUGCCGACUGUUGCACAAGAGCUCAGACUUGGCUUUUGGCUACAGAAACGGACAACUCAAACAAGAUUAUAACAAAAUCAUGUAUAUUAGCACCAAGGGCACUCGGUUGAACCUGCAACCAUUGGCAUAGAGUUUGCUUCAUCAGUGCCACUGAGCUUCUCACACCCCAUUGGACUCCAAAGCAAUAUAGAAAGCUAUUCCCAUUUUCACAAUGAUUGUUUUACUUGAGAGUUUUGUCGCACUUUUCCCCAAGGCACUGUUUUCAUGGGAGGAGGCCUGGGUCCACAUAAGCCAGGCAACAACUGGAGGCAGGUUUUGUUUUAGGAGGCAGCCCACACUGUGAAGGAAUAGGCAAGUUUCCUGCAUUAAAACAAAAGGAUUGGAGCCUCCUCCCAUCCUCAUGCAUUUUAGAUGGCUGCAAGUCUGGGAAUUUGCAAAGAAAGAAGGAUUAAGUUUAUGCCCCUUUUUCAAAUGUGUACAUUCCACUGCAAAAGUUUAAUUUCACAUUGAGAAGGGACCAUCUGUCCCUCAAGUGAUUGCGUAACCUCUUCAAAACACACUCAGCUGUCAAAGAAUGUCUGUAAUAAAUGAUGCAUUUAAAUGAAGCAGGCAAAUAAUCCUAACAAAUGUUUCUUACCUAUUACA